UACGGAGGAUGCGAGCGUUAUCCGGAUUUAUUGGGUUUAAAGGGUGCGUAGGCGGAUCGAUAAGUCAGUGGUGAAAACCUGCAGCUUAACUGUAGACUUGCCGUUGAUACUGUUGGUCUUGAGUAUGGUCAAGGUAGGCGGAAUGUGUAAUGUAGCGGUGAAAUGCUUAGAUAUUACACAGAACACCGAUUGCGAAGGCAGCUUACUGGACCAUCACUGACGCUGAUGCACGAAAGCGUGGGGAUCGAACAGGAUUAGAUACCCUGGUAGUCCACGCCGUAAACGAUGAUCACUCGCUGUUAGCGAUACACAGUUAGCGGCUAAGCAAAAGCAUUAAGUGAUCCACCUGGGGAGUACGGCCGCAAGGCUGAA
Molecule: ribosomal RNA, 372 nt
Filed under: uncultured bacterium
Lineage: Bacteria
Description: bacterial SSU rRNA
Rfam family: Bacterial small subunit ribosomal RNA
Source: RNAcentral